RNAcentral lists this ribosomal RNA (466 nucleotides) under uncultured bacterium. Its description in RNAcentral is "partial 16S ribosomal RNA". It matches the Rfam family "Bacterial small subunit ribosomal RNA", at positions 28 to 507 of the family's 1533-position model. The record is from RNAcentral.
GAUGAACGCUGGCGGCGUGCUUAACACAUGCAAGUCGAACGGAAAGGCUCCUGCUUGCAGGGGUACUCGAGUGGCGAACGGGUGAGUAACACGUGGGUGAUCUGCCCUGCACUUCGGGAUAAGCCUGGGAAACUGGGUCUAAUACCGGAUAGGACGAUGGUUUGGAUGCCAUUGUGGAAAGUUUUUUCGGUGUGGGAUGAGCUCGCGGCCUAUCAGCCUGUUGGUGGGGUAAUGGCCUACCAAGGCGUCGACGGGUAGCCGGCCUGAGAGGGUGUACGGCCACAUUGGGACUGAGAUACGGCCCAGACUCCUACGGGAGGCAGCAGUGGGGAAUAUUGCACAAUGGGCGCAAGCCUGAUGCAGCGACGCCGCGUGGGGGAUGACGGCCUUCGGGUUGUAAACUCCUUUCGCUAGGGACGAAGCGCAAGUGACGGUACCUGGAGAAGAAGCACCGGCUAACUACGUG